Leopardus geoffroyi (Geoffroy's cat) is the source of this 1114-nucleotide long non-coding RNA. RefSeq lists it as uncharacterized. Lineage: Eukaryota; Metazoa; Chordata; Mammalia; Carnivora; Felidae. The record is from RefSeq and is a predicted model, not a curated record. The transcript has 4 exons.
GGGAGGGAGGGCCGGAAAUGUGCUGGAGACCGCCUAGGUCCUGAGAGGAAAGGAGGGCGGGCCUGCCCCGAAGGUGCUGGUGGUGCGGCUCUGUGUCCUCCAGUUGUAGGCAGGGGAGAAGGGUCAGGCUUCAAUGUCCACUCAAGUUGUGUCUAGAAAGGCAGGGUUAACUGUACCCUAGGAACGGGUGUGGGGGUAGGUUGUCAAAGAAAACCAGAGCUAGACAUAAGCUAAAACGGUGGAAAUAAAUUUUAUUCACCAUAAUGUAGCUACAGGGGAAGACACACUCCAGUAUAGACUUGGGGUCAAUUCUGAAUACCAGCAGAUCAAGUGGGGAUUUAUAACUAACAAGUUGGAGUUGGGGGUGUUAGCUGAUAAAUACACAGUCCGGCGGCUUUUGGCUGUACCGACCUAAUAAGAUUAUUGCUGAAGGCAGGCCUAGGUGAUCUGAUACCACCUGGGGGCAGUCGUGGGGAUGAAGUUUGAUCAGUUUUCAAGGGUAGAGAAUUCUUAUUAAACUGACAGGAUUCUUGCUAAAACUGGAUUCUACAAGGAAGUACAUGGAAGGUUGUUGGGGAGAGGGUUCAGGGGAAUCUGACUAAAGUUUGGGGCCCCAAUCCCUUAUUCAAAACCUUCAGGGCCAGAACUGUUUUGGAAUUCACAAGUGUUUGGAUCUUAACAGGAUAGUAAGCCCCUUGCCUGUGCCUUGGAGAUUGCUGCUGAGGUGACUUGGCCCUUCCUGCUGAUUGCAGUGGGUCUCUGCUCUUUGUGGGUUGUCCACCUCCAGAGGAUUGGCUCUAAAUCAGGGUAACCUCAACCCAGGUGACUUCCCAUUGCAUUCAGAAGGAAGCUCAAACUCCUAAUUAGUGUCCACAAGACCUGGAACGUCUGAGCCUCAUUGCAUCUGACUCUUGUCCUUCUGCUCUUUUCCCUCACCCAUCCAUUCUGGCCUCACUGCCUGCCAUCAGUUUCUUGAUUCCUGAUUGCAUCAGAUUCUUCCCACUUCAGAGCCUUUGCUAGCCCUUCUCCUUUUGCUAAAAUGCUCUUCCCCAAGUCAUUAUAUACUGGCUCCUUCUCACACCUGAGAGUUCAGAUUAAAGUUGACUUCAUCAGA